GCCGGGCGUGGUGGCUCAUGCCUGUAAUCCCAGCACUUUGGGAGGCCGAGGUGGGUGGAUCACCUGAGGUCAGGAGUUUGAGACCAGCCUGGCCAACAUGGUGAAACCCCGUCUCUA
Molecule: unclassified non-coding RNA, 117 nt
Organism: Papio anubis (olive baboon)
Lineage: Eukaryota; Metazoa; Chordata; Mammalia; Primates; Cercopithecidae
Rfam family: Metazoan signal recognition particle RNA
About the family: The signal recognition particle (SRP) is a universally conserved ribonucleoprotein. It is involved in the co-translational targeting of proteins to membranes. The eukaryotic SRP consists of a 300-nucleotide 7S RNA and six proteins: SRPs 72, 68, 54, 19, 14, and 9.
Source: Ensembl